CCCGAGAUGAGUUCUCCCUGAGACUUAGAGUCUCCUGAAGGAACGUUGAAGACGACGACGUUGAUAGGCCGGGUGUGUAAGCGCAGCGAUGCGUUGAGCUAACCGGUACUAAUGAACCGUGAGGCUUAACCUUAC
RNAcentral lists this ribosomal RNA (135 nucleotides) under Salmonella enterica subsp. enterica serovar Typhimurium str. LT2-4. RNAcentral describes it as "partial 23S ribosomal RNA". It matches the Rfam family "Bacterial large subunit ribosomal RNA", at positions 2798 to 2925 of the family's 2925-position model. The record is from RNAcentral. Lineage: Bacteria; Pseudomonadati; Pseudomonadota; Gammaproteobacteria; Enterobacterales; Enterobacteriaceae.